RNAcentral lists this ribosomal RNA (1526 nucleotides) under Escherichia coli. RNAcentral describes it as "bacterial SSU rRNA". It matches the Rfam family "Bacterial small subunit ribosomal RNA". The record is from RNAcentral. Lineage: Bacteria; Pseudomonadati; Pseudomonadota; Gammaproteobacteria; Enterobacterales; Enterobacteriaceae.
AGAGUUUGAUCAUGGCUCAGAUUGAACGCUGGCGGCAGGCCUAACACAUGCAAGUCGAACGGUAACAGGAAGAAGCUUGCUUCUUUGCUGACGAGUGGCGGACGGGUGAGUAAUGUCUGGGAAACUGCCUGAUGGAGGGGGAUAACUACUGGAAACGGUAGCUAAUACCGCAUAACGUCGCAAGACCAAAGAGGGGGACCUUCGGGCCUCUUGCCAUCGGAUGUGCCCAGAUGGGAUUAGCUAGUAGGUGGGGUAACGGCUCACCUAGGCGACGAUCCCUAGCUGGUCUGAGAGGAUGACCAGCCACACUGGAACUGAGACACGGUCCAGACUCCUACGGGAGGCAGCAGUGGGGAAUAUUGCACAAUGGGCGCAAGCCUGAUGCAGCCAUGCCGCGUGUAUGAAGAAGGCCUUCGGGUUGUAAAGUACUUUCAGCGGGGAGGAAGGGAGUAAAGUUAAUACCUUUGCUCAUUGACGUUACCCGCAGAAGAAGCACCGGCUAACUCCGUGCCAGCAGCCGCGGUAAUACGGAGGGUGCAAGCGUUAAUCGGAAUUACUGGGCGUAAAGCGCACGCAGGCGGUUUGUUAAGUCAGAUGUGAAAUCCCCGGCUCAACCUGGGAACUGCAUCUGAUACUGGCAAGCUUGAGUCUCGUAGAGGGGGGUAGAAUUCCAGGUGUAGCGGUGAAAUGCGUAGAGAUCUGGAGGAAUACCGGUGGCGAAGGCGGCCCCCUGGACGAAGACUGACGCUCAGGUGCGAAGCGUGGGAGCAAACAGGAUUAGAUACCCUGGUAGUCCACGCCGUAAACGAUGUCGACUUGGAGGUUGUGCCCUUGAGGCGUGGCUUCCGGAGCUAACGCGUUAAGUCGACCGCCUGGGGAGUACGGCCGCAAGGUUAAAACUCAAUGAAUUGACGGGGGCCCGCACAAGCGGUGGAGCAUGUGGUUUUAAUUCGAUGCAACGCGAAGAACCUUACCUGGUCUUGACAUCCACGGAAGUUUUCAGAGAUGAGAAUGUGCCUUCGGGAACCGUGAGACAGGUGCUGCAUGGCUGUCGUCAGCUCGUGUUGUGAAAUGUUGGGUUAAGUCCCGCAACGAGCGCAACCCUUAUCCUUUGUUGCCAGCGGUCCGGCCGGGAACUCAAAGGAGACUGCCAGUGAUAAACUGGAGGAAGGUGGGGAUGACGUCAAGUCAUCAUGGCCCUUACGACCAGGGCUACACACGUGCUACAAUGGCGCAUACAAAGAGAAGCGACCUCGCGAGAGCAAGCGGACCUCAUAAAGUGCGUCGUAGUCCGGAUUGGAGUCUGCAACUCGACUCCAUGAAGUCGGAAUCGCUAGUAAUCGUGGAUCAGAAUGCCACGGUGAAUACGUUCCCGGGCCUUGUACACACCGCCCGUCACACCAUGGGAGUGGGUUGCAAAGAAGUAGGUAGCUUAACCUUCGGGAGGGCGCUUACCACUUUGUGAUUCAUGACUGGGGUGAAGUCGUAACAAGGUAACCGUAGGGGAACCUGCGGUUGGAUCACCU